Molecule: ribosomal RNA, 523 nt
Filed under: Schaalia turicensis
Lineage: Bacteria; Bacillati; Actinomycetota; Actinomycetes; Actinomycetales; Actinomycetaceae
Description: bacterial SSU rRNA
Rfam family: Bacterial small subunit ribosomal RNA
Source: RNAcentral
UGGAGAGUUUGAUCCUGGCUCAGGACGAACGCUGGCGGCGUGCUUAACACAUGCAAGUCGAACGAUGAUGCUCCAGCUUUGUUGGGGUGGAUUAGUGGCGAACGGGUGAGUAACACGUGAGUAACCUGCCCUCUUCUUUGGGAUAACGGUCGGAAACGGCUGCUAAUACUGGAUAUUCACUCAUUGGCGCAUGUUGGUGGGUGGAAAGGUUUUUUCUGGUGGGGGAUGGGCUCGCGGCCUAUCAGCUUGUUGGUGGGGUGAUGGCCUACCAAGGCUUUGACGGGUAACCGGCCUGAGAGGGUGACCGGUCACAUUGGGACUGAGAUACGGCCCAGACUCCUACGGGAGGCAGCAGUGGGGAAUUUUGCACAAUGGGCGCAAGCCUGAUGCAGCGACGCCGCGUGAGGGAUGAAGGCCUUCGGGUUGUAAACCUUUUUCGCUCAUGGUCAAGCCGCAGCUUUGGGUUGUGGUGAGGGUAGUGGGUAAAGAAGCGCCGGCUAACUACGUGCCAGCAGCCGCGGUA